Molecule: ribosomal RNA, 715 nt
Filed under: uncultured bacterium
Lineage: Bacteria
Description: bacterial SSU rRNA
Rfam family: Bacterial small subunit ribosomal RNA
Source: RNAcentral
AGAGUUUGAUCCUGGCUCAGAACGUACGCUGGCGGCACGCCUAACACAUGCAAGUCGAACGAAGUAGCAAUACUUAGUGGCAGACGGGUGAGUAACAUGUAGGUAUCUACCCUAUGGCCUGGAAUAACACGAGGAAACUUGUGCUAAUACUGGAUAAGUCUUUACGGAGAAAGCUUUAUGCACCAUUGGAUGAGCCUGCACUUGAUUAGUUUGUUGGUGGGGUAAUGGCCUACCAAGACUGUGAUCAAUAGCUGAUUUGAGAGGAUGAUCAGCCACAUUGGGACUGAGACACGGCCCAAACUCCUACGGGAGGCAGCAGUGGGGAAUCUUGCACAAUGGAGGAAACUCUGAUGCAGCGAUGCCGCGUGAGUGAAGAAGGCCCUUGGGUUGUAAAGCUCUUUCGUCGGGGAAGAAAAUGACUGUACCCGAAUAAGAAGGUCCGGCUAACUUCGUGCCAGCAGCCGCGGUAAUACGAAGGGACCUAGCGUAGUUCGGAAUUACUGGGCUUAAAGAGUUCGUAGGUGGUUGAAAAAGUUAGUGGUGAAAUCCCAGAGCUUAACUCUGGAACUGCCAUUAAAACUUUUCAGCUAGAGUAUGAUAGAGGAAAGCAGAAUUUCUAGUGUAGAGGUGAAAUUCGUAGAUAUUAGAAAGAAUACCAAUUGCGAAGGCAGCUUUCUGGAUCAUUACUGACACUGAGGAACGAAAGCAUGGGUAG